RNAcentral lists this ribosomal RNA (548 nucleotides) under Pichia kluyveri. RNAcentral describes it as "eukaryotic LSU rRNA". It matches the Rfam family "Eukaryotic large subunit ribosomal RNA", at positions 62 to 628 of the family's 3401-position model. The record is from RNAcentral. Lineage: Eukaryota; Fungi; Ascomycota; Pichiomycetes; Pichiales; Pichiaceae.
AAACCAACAGGGAUUGCCUCAGUAGCGGCGAGUGAAGCGGCAAGAGCUCAGAUUUGAAAUCUCACCUAGUGUGCGAGUUGUAAAUUGCAGGUUGGAGUCUCGGGUUAGACGUGUGUGCAAGUCCCUUGGAACAGGGUGCCACUGAGGGUGAGAGCCCCGUAGCGUGCAUGUCGACACCUGUGAGGCCCUUCUGACGAGUCGAGUUGUUUGGGAAUGCAGCUCUAAGUGGGUGGUAAAUUCCAUCUAAGGCUAAAUAUUGGCGAGAGACCGAUAGCGAACAAGUACUGUGAAGGAAAGAUGAAAAGCACUUUGAAAAGAGAGUGAAACAGCACGUGAAAUUGUUGAAAGGGAAGGGUAUUGGGCUCGACAUGGGAUUUACGCAUCGUUGCCUCUCGUGGGCGGCGCUCUGGGUUUUUCCUGGGCCAGCAUCGGUUUUCGUUGCAGGAUAAGGACAAUUGGAAUGUGGCUCCUCGGAGUGUUAUAGCCUUUUGUAGAUGCUGCGUAUGGGGACCGAGGGCUGCGGCGGACUCGUUUCGUCUCGGAUGCUG